GACGAACGCUGGCGGCGUGCUUAACACAUGCAAGUCGAACGAAGAGCGAUGGAAGCUUGCUUCUAUCAAUCUUAGUGGCGAACGGGUGAGUAACGCGUAAUCAACCUGCCCUUCAGAGGGGGACAACAGUUGGAAACGACUGCUAAUACCGCAUACGGUCUAACCUCGGCAUCGAGGAAAGAUGAAAGGUGGCUUCUAUGUAUAAGCUAUCACUGAAGGAGGGGAUUGCGUCUGAUUAGCUAGUUGGAGGGGUAACGGCCCACCAAGGCGAUGAUCAGUAGCCGAUCUGAGAGGAUGAACGGCCACAUUGGGACUGAGACACGGCCCAGACUCCUACGGGAGGCAGCAGUGGGGAAUCUUCCGCAAUGGACGAAAGUCUGACGGAGCAACGCCGCGUGAGUGAUGACGGCCUUCGGGUUGUAAAGCUCUGUUAAUCGGGACGAAAGGCUUUCUUGCGAAUAGUGAGAAGGAUGGAGGUUACCGGAAUAGAAAGCCAGGGCUAAUUACGU
This 509-nucleotide ribosomal RNA is filed under the name uncultured bacterium. RNAcentral describes it as "partial 16S ribosomal RNA". It matches the Rfam family "Bacterial small subunit ribosomal RNA", at positions 28 to 506 of the family's 1533-position model. The record is from RNAcentral.